GAAGAGGGGUGGGGAUUGGGUCAAUUUUGUUGGUUUUGCUUGGCUGAAGUAAUGAUUGAUAGGGACAUUUGGGGGCAUUAGUAUUUAGUUGUCAGAGGUGAAAUUMUAGGAUUUACUAAAGACUGACCAAUGCGAAAGCAUUUGCCAAGGAUGUUUUCAUUAAUCAAGAACGAAAGUAGGGGGAUCGAAGACGAUCAGAUACCGUCGUAGUCUCUACCGUAAACUAUGCCGACCAGGGAUCCGAAGAGUUUGCAUGGAUGACUCCCCGGGCACCUUGUGAGAUUUCAUAAGUGUUUGGGUUUUGGGGGGAGUAUGGUCGCAAGGCUGAAACUAAAGAAUGACGAAGCACACACAWUUC
Molecule: ribosomal RNA, 358 nt
Filed under: uncultured amoeba
Lineage: Eukaryota
Description: bacterial SSU rRNA
Rfam family: Eukaryotic small subunit ribosomal RNA
Source: RNAcentral